Molecule: long non-coding RNA, 1218 nt
Organism: Tachysurus fulvidraco (yellow catfish)
Lineage: Eukaryota; Metazoa; Chordata; Actinopteri; Siluriformes; Bagridae
Exons: 3
Source: RefSeq, a predicted model, not a curated record
ACAGUGACACUAUAAAGGUACUAGUGUGGGAAAAUACACACAGCAGAGAGCUUACAAGUACUAAGUGUUAAAAGAGGGCUUUUUGGAUGACAAGUAAGUAAUAAACUAGCAUAAUAGUGUGAAAUAUACAAAACUUAAAGGAAAGAACCACUGAAGCACAAACAAAACACAAAGAGGAGAAAUAAAAUAAAUACCACUGAAGAAAGGGUUCAGAGGUGCUGAGACGCUCAGAGUUAACUGUCACGCUGAGGAGGGAAACACCAGCUGCAUGCCAAGCAGUGCAAAGACCACAAUGAAGAGGAAGAGGAGGAAGAGCAAGCUGAUGAUGGACUUCAUGGAGUUCAGCAGAGACACCACUAGGUUCCUCAAGGAGGCCCAGUAUCUAAAAAUAAAGAAGAAAAUGAAGAGGACUCAGGACAAUGAAGAGUUCUGUUUGAAGCCCCAUGUAGGCUUGUGAGAUGGUGUGUAAAAUGACACCACCCUUUUAUGCCCCCGUAUGGAUCGCUGAUUGACCACAAGAGGCUCUGAGAAGGGGAAAGAAGGACGUAGCAAGACGUAUGUAUGUAACGUGUCCUACGGGUGAGAUGGCUAUAGCUGAAAUCUCUAGCAUUAGUGUUAAGUCAGGGUAGUUGUUGGUUUUUUGCUUAAUAUCCCAAUAAUAUUUUCACAUAAACAUUUAAACUUGUCAGUAAUAACAAUAGAAGGAAACUGUCACAGAUUCCUGAACCCAUCAUCAGUCAUCCCUCGCCGAGCUCUUCAUCUUUACUGACAGCACUUCAUCCUUCUCUGCACAAAGACUGAGCUCUUUACUUCAGUCUCGUUCACAUUACACUACGGUUUGUAAACGUCCACACAAAGGAUGUAACUGAUAUGAAAACGAUAAUGCAUCCUAAACAAAUAGAAUAAGACAAAGAAGAAAAACAACAAAUAAAGAAGAUACAGGAUUCUUUUCUGUGACGUUUUAGAAAGAUUGUGAGAAACUACAGACGGGAUGUGAAACAGGACCUUUGUGUUUAAAGCUAAGAUCGUUUGCAGGUUUCAUAAACACCUAUAUCUCAAACACCACACAAAAAGACUUCAAAUAUCAUCAAAAUGUUUGGGAGCAGGAAAAGGCAGCAUGUUUAUGAGUAUCAUAUAAACUGGAGACAAUCUGUUCUUUUUUUAUCAUCACUGGUUUGCCCCAGUAUGCAAAGUGUUUUACUGAGAACCAAAAUAAAG